ACGCCCCGCAGUUACCGCCAGGUGGCGCAUUUAAGCUGUGAAGCGCUGGAACUUUAACUUGAACAAGAUGUAGCUGAACUGAAAGCAGAGAACUGAAUUAAUAAUCCAACUUUUCCAGGAAAGAUCCUCAAAACGUCUGCAAUAGAUUUAGGUGCCCGGAUUAUUAUUGAUUUUGUGGAGUAACUGAUUUUAUUUUGAUUUGACCCUUUUUUACUAAUGUAAAACUUUGCGUUUUAAUUUAAAGUAAUUUCCAGCUGCCGUCAUGUAGAUGAUUGUUUCUCCAUGCAUCAUCUUCAUCCGCUGAACUGCAACUGUUUUUAUCUCAUAAUUUUUAAGUAUAGCUAUAUAUGGUAUGGCUUCAUAAUUUUUGGAUUUUGGUCUUUCUGCAUGAGAAUGGAGGCAUUACAGAUAGUUUUAUCUGCAGUCUUAGAACAGCUGUCUGAGAGAUAUCACCAUGCAACGUGUCUUAGCGACUCCUCUGAGGUUUACAUAAGCUUUGCUCUGUUGCUGGACAGAGAAAAAUAGACACAAUGAAGUUUUCGUGGCACAUGCUUGGCUGUCUCAUGAGGGACCUAACACAUUUAAGACCCCGUGGGAUUCAACAAACAAAGCCUCCUCUCCAACACAGGCACAUCCCUCAGCUGCUCGAUAGGCAGUGUGUUUUGUUUUUAUAUUUUGUGUAUUUUUGUGACGAAUCCCUGUUGGGCCAUUCCUCGGCCCCCCGAGGCUGGCUGUGCACCGCAGAUUGCUUCCGGCUGCCUCUCUGGAUACUGCAACGCUGCAGACUGUGAGGAGUGCCUGUUCCGCUCCUUUCCAUCCUGCCUUCUCCUCUUUCUCUGCACUGAGGCUGCCCUGACCAGCUGGUGGAGCUGGGUAGCUGCAGGCUGCUUGGACCAGGAUCAAGUAGUGCUGUCUGGCUUCCUGUGCUGCCUGUCUUGGUAGAGAAGAGCUUUACAGGGCUCCUGAGAGAAGGGUAUUUUCAAAGGAAGCUUAAAAUUAGAAACUUAAGAAGUAUGUGCAUUGUCUUAAGUUAGCAUGUUACCUGUGCAUUAAAAAAAAACUAAACUUUUGGAC
This is a long non-coding RNA of Girardinichthys multiradiatus, 1074 nucleotides long. RefSeq lists it as uncharacterized. Lineage: Eukaryota; Metazoa; Chordata; Actinopteri; Cyprinodontiformes; Goodeidae. The record is from RefSeq and is a predicted model, not a curated record. The transcript has 3 exons.